RNAcentral lists this long non-coding RNA (228 nucleotides) under Carica papaya (papaya). RNAcentral's name for it is "long non-coding RNA (CPAP_LNC015469)". Lineage: Eukaryota; Viridiplantae; Streptophyta; Magnoliopsida; Brassicales; Caricaceae. The record is from RNAcentral.
CUUUCUAUUCAUGACAUUUCUAUCUGAUCUCUGGUUGAUACAGGUGCUAUCCACUCUUUUAUUUGUUCUUCAUUUGCUUAUAAAUUAGAUAUUAGGCCUGAACGUUUAAAUAAAUUAUUAGUAGUAAAAACUCCCUCUAGAGGUUUAUCAGAAGCUCAUUGUGUGUAUAAAAAUAGUAAAAUAAAAGCUUUAGGAGUAGAAUUGUUAGUAGACCUUAUACUUUUAGAU